Molecule: ribosomal RNA, 206 nt
Filed under: uncultured bacterium
Lineage: Bacteria
Description: partial 16S ribosomal RNA
Rfam family: Bacterial small subunit ribosomal RNA
Source: RNAcentral
CACGUAGGCGGACUGGAAAGUUGGGGUGAAAUCCCGGGGCUCAACCCCGGAACUGCCUCCAAAACUUCCAAUCUAGAGAUCGAGAGAGGUAAGUGGAAUUCCUAGUGUAGAGGUGAAAUUCGUAGAUAUUAGGAGGAACACCAGUGGCGAAGGCGGCUUACUAGCUCGAUACUGACGCUGAGGUGCGAAAGCGUGGGGAGCAAACA